UACGGGGGGGGCAAGCGUUGUUCGGAAUUACUGGGCGUAAAGGGCGCGUAGGCGCCUUCUAAGUCAGACGUGAAAUCCCUCGGCUCAACCGAGGAACUGCGUCUGAUACUGGAAGGCUUGAAUCCGGUAGAGGGAAGUGGAAUUUCCGGUGUAGCGGUGAAAUGCGUAGAUAUCGGAAGGAACAUCAGUGGCGAAAGCGGCCAACUGGACGAAGACUGACGCUGAGACACGAAAGCGUGGGGAGCAAACAGG
Molecule: ribosomal RNA, 252 nt
Filed under: uncultured bacterium
Lineage: Bacteria
Description: partial 16S ribosomal RNA
Rfam family: Bacterial small subunit ribosomal RNA
Source: RNAcentral